Molecule: ribosomal RNA, 287 nt
Filed under: uncultured bacterium
Lineage: Bacteria
Description: partial 16S ribosomal RNA
Rfam family: Bacterial small subunit ribosomal RNA
Source: RNAcentral
GGAUUAGAUACCCUGGUAGUCCACGCCGUAAACGAUGGAUACUAGCUGUCGGGACCUCGGUCUCGGCGGCCAAGCGAAAGUGAUAAGUAUCCCACCUGGGGAGUACGUUCGCAAGAAUGAAACUCAAAGGAAUUGACGGGGGCCCGCACAAGCGGUGGAGCAUGUGGUUUAAUUCGAUGAUACGCGAGGAACCUUACCAGGGCUUAAAUGUAGGUUGCAUGGGGCAGAGACGCCCCUUUCUUCGGACCACCUACAAGGUGCUGCAUGGUUGUCGUCAGCUCGUGUUG